RNAcentral lists this ribosomal RNA (468 nucleotides) under uncultured bacterium. RNAcentral's name for it is "partial 16S ribosomal RNA". It matches the Rfam family "Bacterial small subunit ribosomal RNA", at positions 28 to 507 of the family's 1533-position model. The record is from RNAcentral.
GACGAACGCUGGCGGCGUGCUUAACACAUGCAAGUCGAACGGAAAGGCCCUGCUUUUGUGGGGUGCUCGUGUGGCGAACGGGUGAGUAACAUGUGAGAAACGUGCCCUUCUCUGUGGUAUAACUUCGGGAAUCUGGCGCUAAUACGGGAUAGGAGCUCCUGCUGCAUGGGGGGGGUUGGAAUGUUUCGGCGGUUGGGAAUGGCCUCGCGGCUUAUCAGCUUGUUGGUGGGGUAUUGACUUACCAAGGCUUUGACGGUUAGCCGGCCUGAGAGGGGGACCGGCCAAAUUGGGACUGGAAUCGGGCCCAGACUCCUACGGACGCAAGAAGUGGGAAAUAUGCAAAAUUGGGGCAAGCCCUAUUCAAGCAACGCCGCUUGCGGGAUACGGGCCUCCGGGUGAAAAACCGUUUUCCCCUGUAAGGAGGCGUGUGUGACGGUACUGGGUAAAGAAGCACCGGCUAACUACGUG